GGUGCCAUGGUUUAGUUGGUUAAAGUGCCUGUUUUGUAAACAGGAGAUCCUGGGUCCAAAUCCCAGUGGUACCU
Transfer RNA from Alligator mississippiensis (American alligator), 74 nucleotides. It matches the Rfam family "tRNA". From Rfam's summary of the family: Transfer RNA (tRNA) molecules are approximately 80 nucleotides in length. Their secondary structure includes four short double-helical elements and three loops (D, anti-codon, and T loops). Lineage: Eukaryota; Metazoa; Chordata; Crocodylia; Alligatoridae. The record is from Rfam.